AAGGGAUAUGAUGAAAAAUGUAUAAUUAUGCACUGAAAAUGAUAAAUGACUAAUAAUGGCAAAUUAUACGCGAAUCAUUAUUAGUCACGUGUGACACAGGCUGAACUUUGUUUUAACAUACCAGGUACCUUAUCUUUAAAUUUUCUUUAAACAGAGUCACAACUUGACGCAUUCUCCAGUUACAUGAGUUAAGUGUCAUUCUGGGUAACAAGGAUUUGAGUGACGUCAGUAUGCGUGCCUUUAUAAGUCUCCUGUGCGUGGCUCUUGUUUUCCUAACCAUUGCAGAGGUGUUACCUGUCCCCAUGCCAAGGAGCUACGUAGGCUUUGGUUAUUGUUUGCAGAAACAAAUGGGUGGGUCGGACGUUUGUAAGGAGUUCGCUGUGGAGUGUCAUGAUUACUGUCAAUCGCUCAAAGUGGAAUGACUUUGAUAUAAGAUAUAUUAAAGUUUGAAAUGCA
Long non-coding RNA from Ostrea edulis (European flat oyster), 456 nucleotides. RefSeq lists it as uncharacterized. The transcript is spliced from 3 exons. The record is from RefSeq and is a predicted model, not a curated record. Lineage: Eukaryota; Metazoa; Mollusca; Bivalvia; Ostreida; Ostreidae.